This 391-nucleotide ribosomal RNA is filed under the name Russula aff. nigricans 280-850. RNAcentral's name for it is "eukaryotic LSU rRNA". The stretch from base 1 to 105 matches the Rfam family "5.8S ribosomal RNA", at positions 50 to 154 of the family's 154-position model. Lineage: Eukaryota; Fungi; Basidiomycota; Agaricomycetes; Russulales; Russulaceae. The record is from RNAcentral.
GAAAUGCGAUACGUAAUGUGAAUUGCAGAAUUCAGUGAAUCAUCGAAUCUUUGAACGCACCUUGCGCCCCUUGGCAUUCCGAGGGGCACACCCGUUUGAGUGUCGUGAAAUUCUCAAACCUUCUUGGUCCUUUUUGACCAAAGAAGGCUUUGGAUCUUGGAGGUAUUUUGCUGGCUUUCAUGCAGAGCCAGCUCCUCUUAAAUGCAUUAGUGGGGGGUCCCCUUUGCCGGUCCUCUGACGUGAUAAGCCAUCCAUUUUCUACGUCUUGGAGGAUUUGCUCUGUUUCUUGGGAACCUGCUUCCAACCGGUCUCACAGGAGACGUCGUUCGAGCUCGCCUCGACCCCAUGAACCCUUGACCUCAAAUCGGGUGAGACUACCCGCUGAACUUAA